GUAGGGGGGCAAGCGUUGUCCGGAUUCAUUGGGCGUAAAGCGCGUGUAGGCGGUUCAAUAGGGGUCCGAUGUGAAAACUCGAGGGCUCAACUUCGAGAGGCCAUCGGAAACCAUUGGACUAGAGUCCCGGAAGAGGAGAGUGGAAUUCCUGGUGUAGCGGUGAAAUGCGCAGAUAUCAGGAAGAACACCGAUGGCGAAGGCAGCUCUCUGGGACGGUACUGACGCUAAGACGCGAAAGCGUGGGGAGCGAACAGGAUUAGAUACCCUGGUAGUCCACGCCGUAAACGAUGGGCACUAGGUGUGGGUGGUGUCGACUCCAUCCGUGCCGCAGCUAACGCAUUAAGUGCCCCGCCUGGGGAGUACGGCCGCAAGGCU
This 375-nucleotide ribosomal RNA is filed under the name uncultured organism. RNAcentral's name for it is "partial 16S ribosomal RNA". It matches the Rfam family "Bacterial small subunit ribosomal RNA", at positions 526 to 895 of the family's 1533-position model. The record is from RNAcentral.